UACUAAUACUAAUACUACACAACUAAUCUGGCCUCUCAAAUGCAGCAGUGAAUACUACGCAAUGGAUAGUGAGGUAGGAGGUACAACAGGCUACGCAUGCGUUGCUGGACGAGAAGAGGAGAGUACUGUAGAUUCAUGUUUGCAGUCUGAAACCGAAACAUGAAAAUUUAAGACUUCACAUUAACCGCCUUGUCUUGCAUUCACUCAAAGCUGGACCAGCUCUCCCUUAGAACACAGUAUGUAGAGGUCCCUGCAUGUGAAAUGUAAAUGUGACAGGAGGAAUUUCACUAUGUGACCCAAAAGCAAGAGCGGUGUGGGAUGUUUCAGCCUCAGGAGCUGUCUAUACAACGCCCUACAGUUUCCCACACAGCCCCGCUGGGGUUUGCUGAUUACAGUAGAAUAAUGACAUCAUGGAGAUACGCACCUUACUUCUUUCUCCUUGUGUUGCUAAUUGACUUGUCAAAGGAGGAAUGCGAGGACUACUUUGAUUUUUCGAAAGAUAAAAACCUGGCACACAAUCUGACAAGGACGUUCCCCCUGGUAAAGCCUAAGAAUACCACGGACUUGCUACAGUGCAUGGGCUGCACUCUAAAAAAAAGCAAAGGCAGGGACAAACAGUUCCCAUACAUUCUGAAAGACUGCUUUGAAUCGGUCAAUGCCGAAAGUUGUUCUAAUGAAACUUUUGGUAAUAUUUCGUAUUACAACCUAAUGUGCUUGACAGCCAAAGCGCUGGAACUUAACAGUACAGACAUUAAAGCCUGCCAUUUUGGUGACAGUGAAACUCUAUUCAAGCUGCCUUCACUACAGUAUUAUGACAACUUAAAAUCUUUUGGAUCAUCAUCCCCACCACAAGAAAUUGCUUCAUCAGAUAACGUGUUAAAGUACUUUCCCCUAUCGAUGGGCCUCAUCCUGCUCCUGCUAACAAUUGUUUAUCUGUACAAAAGCUUGAAGAGACAAAUCACAAAAUGGAGAGAGAAUAAUGCAGAGAAUUGUUCUGUACCACAAGAGUUGACCGUUUCGCAGCCAAUCACUCAGCCAAGAGUUGCAAAAAGGAAUGAAGAGGAGGGCACCCAGUUUCUGGAUGACCAUAGGCUGCCAUGUCACCUUUAAAUGACAAAACCUGCCCUGACUGAACUGGUGAAAAUGGAAAGCUGCACUAAGGACCACACUGUCAAAACUGCUGCUGUCUGUUUCAUUACGUCACAGCCGUGGGAUCUGGAUACUAUAAUGAAAAGGACAAAAGAAUGACUGCGUGUUGCAAAUGUCCUGGGCCCAAAUUAAGGAAGCCAUCCCAUUCAAGUCCUAUGGCAGUAAAUGAGGAGCUGGACUCACUUAAGCGAGAAAAAAAGGAAACAAGCCCAUCUAGUAAAGCAGGAGGUCAAAACAAGCAACAGGUCAUAACAAACCUGAGCAGAUGCUGAGGACUAGUUACGUGGUGGCGUUAGGUCAGUGACUGCAGAGGCAGAGAGUUUGCAGAUGGCCAGGGAAGUGGACAGUAUUAGUGUUAUGAAAUCAGUCCACGCCGGCUGUCAAACGCUGACGCCAUUCUUCAGUUUUAUACCCUAGGUCAUGGCAUCUUCUAAAUAAGUGACACCUUCACGUCAGCAUGCCAUGCACAAGGCUUGGCUUUCUUGGAAUAUCUAACACUAAUAAUAAAAAACUUUGAAACAAAAGUUUUUUCA
Molecule: long non-coding RNA, 1682 nt
Filed under: Betta splendens (Siamese fighting fish)
Lineage: Eukaryota; Metazoa; Chordata; Actinopteri; Anabantiformes; Osphronemidae
Description: lncRNA (ENSBSLG00000006662.1)
Source: RNAcentral